This 1341-nucleotide ribosomal RNA is filed under the name Staphylococcus aureus. Its description in RNAcentral is "partial 23S ribosomal RNA". It matches the Rfam family "Bacterial large subunit ribosomal RNA", at positions 1582 to 2925 of the family's 2925-position model. The record is from RNAcentral. Lineage: Bacteria; Bacillati; Bacillota; Bacilli; Caryophanales; Staphylococcaceae.
GUCUUCGAGUCGUUGAUUUCACACUGCCGAGAAAAGCCUCUAGAUAGAAAAUAGGUGCCCGUACCGCAAACCGACACAGGUAGUCAAGAUGAGAAUUCUAAGGUGAGCGAGCGAACUCUCGUUAAGGAACUCGGCAAAAUGACCCCGUAACUUCGGGAGAAGGGGUGCUCUUUAGGGUUAACGCCCAGAAGAGCCGCAGUGAAUAGGCCCAAGCGACUGUUUAUCAAAAACACAGGUCUCUGCUAAACCGUAAGGUGAUGUAUAGGGGCUGACGCCUGCCCGGUGCUGGAAGGUUAAGAGGAGUGGUUAGCUUCUGCGAAGCUACGAAUCGAAGCCCCAGUAAACGGCGGCCGUAACUAUAACGGUCCUAAGGUAGCGAAAUUCCUUGUCGGGUAAGUUCCGACCCGCACGAAAGGCGUAACGAUUUGGGCACUGUCUCAACGAGAGACUCGGUGAAAUCAUAGUACCUGUGAAGAUGCAGGUUACCCGCGACAGGACGGAAAGACCCCGUGGAGCUUUACUGUAGCCUGAUAUUGAAAUUCGGCACAGCUUGUACAGGAUAGGUAGGAGCCUUUGAAACGUGAGCGCUAGCUUACGUGGAGGCGCUGGUGGGAUACUACCCUAGCUGUGUUGGCUUUCUAACCCGCACCACUUAUCGUGGUGGGAGACAGUGUCAGGCGGGCAGUUUGACUGGGGCGGUCGCCUCCUAAAAGGUAACGGAGGCGCUCAAAGGUUCCCUCAGAAUGGUUGGAAAUCAUUCAUAGAGUGUAAAGGCAUAAGGGAGCUUGACUGCGAGACCUACAAGUCGAGCAGGGUCGAAAGACGGACUUAGUGAUCCGGUGGUUCCGCAUGGAAGGGCCAUCGCUCAACGGAUAAAAGCUACCCCGGGGAUAACAGGCUUAUCUCCCCCAAGAGUUCACAUCGACGGGGAGGUUUGGCACCUCGAUGUCGGCUCAUCGCAUCCUGGGGCUGUAGUCGGUCCCAAGGGUUGGGCUGUUCGCCCAUUAAAGCGGUACGCGAGCUGGGUUCAGAACGUCGUGAGACAGUUCGGUCCCUAUCCGUCGUGGGCGCAGGAAAUUUGAGAGGAGCUGUCCUUAGUACGAGAGGACCGGGAUGGACAUACCUCUGGUGUACCAGUUGUCGUGCCAACGGCAUAGCUGGGUAGCUAUGUGUGGACGGGAUAAGUGCUGAAAGCAUCUAAGCAUGAAGCCCCCCUCAAGAUGAGAUUUCCCAACUUCGGUUAUAAGAUCCCUCAAAGAUGAUGAGGUUAAUAGGUUCGAGGUGGAAGCAUGGUGACAUGUGGAGCUGACGAAUACUAAUCGAUCGAAGACUUAAUCAAAA